AUUUGAUCUCAAAUCAGGUAAGGCUACCCGCUGAAUUUAAGCAUAUUAAUAAGCGGAGGAAAAGAAAAUAACAAUGAUUCCCCUAGUAACGGCGAGUGAAGCGGGAAAAGCUCAAGGUUUUAAUCUCCAGGCCCCCUUUGUUUGGUCUGGCGACAUGUAACCUAUGGAUUGCGGAUUUGGCCAGCUGUGUUUCUUCCUUGCCAAAGCCAGUUGAAUCUGGUGCCAUUGAGGGUGAAAGCCCCGUUAAUGGCAGGGAAGUUGAUGGCUAUUGUGCCCCGCUUUUCGCGAGUCGGGUUGUUUGGGAAUGCAGCCCUAAAUGGGAGGUAAAUUUCUCCUAAAGCUAAAUAUUAGCAAGAGACCGAUAGCAUACAAGUACCGUAAGGGAAAGGUGAAAAGCACUCUGAAGAGAGAGUGAAAAGUACGCGAAACUGUUAGUAGGGAAACGUUUGCACAGCACACUAACUCUAGCCGGAAGCCCCCUCGGGGGUGGAGGGCUCUAUGUUGCCUCGCAGCAAUUCCCCCCGUUGGACAAAACUUUAGUGAAGGUAGGGAGUUUCUGUAGACUUGUUCUGCAGGGCUUCUGUUUAUAGCACUUUAGCAAUACAGCGGGGUAUUUAAAUGGGAUUGAGGUACGCUAAGCAGCUUCUGACUGGUUUUAUUAUCAGCGGAGGCGAUGCCCCCUCCUAUCCCCCAUAGCCAAACCACAAGCUAGACAUUUCUAUGACUGCAUGUGGGGUAACAGUGGCUUGGAAUAUACGGAUUGGGAGUAGGGGACAGUUGCUUAAAGGAUGCGGGGAAGUGUUGAACAAACGACCCGUCUUGAAACACGGACCAAGGAGUCUAACACUAGUGCGAGUCGUUGGGAAAAAUAUCUAAUAAUAGACCCAUGGGCGCAAUGAAAGUGAGGAGUGUGUCAUAGCAUUUGUUGGUACCAAUUCCCUAAUUUAUUAGGGGACGCAGUACCCUCCGACUAGGAAAAGUUUACUUUGACUGGUUUGAGAGUGAGCACUUGUGUUAGGACCCGAAAGAUGGUGAACUAUACUUGAGUAGGGUGAAGCCAGGGGAAACCCUGGUGGAGGCUCGUAGCGAUUCUGACGUGCAAAUCGAUCGUAAAACUUGCGUAUAGGGGCGAAAGACUAAUCGAACUAUCUAGUAGCUGGUUCCUGCCGAAGUUUCCCUCAGGA
RNAcentral lists this ribosomal RNA (1184 nucleotides) under Orphella avalonensis. RNAcentral describes it as "eukaryotic LSU rRNA". It matches the Rfam family "Eukaryotic large subunit ribosomal RNA", at positions 1 to 978 of the family's 3401-position model. Lineage: Eukaryota; Fungi; Kickxellomycota; Orphellales; Orphellaceae. The record is from RNAcentral.